This 253-nucleotide ribosomal RNA is filed under the name uncultured bacterium. Its description in RNAcentral is "partial 16S ribosomal RNA". It matches the Rfam family "Bacterial small subunit ribosomal RNA", at positions 524 to 776 of the family's 1533-position model. The record is from RNAcentral.
UACGUAGGGUGCAAGCGUUGUCCGGAAUUAUUGGGCGUAAAGAGCUCGUAGGCGGUUCGUCGCGUCGGCUGUGAAAACCCGAGGCUCAACCUCGGGCCUGCAGUCGAUACGGGCAGGCUAGAGUGUGGUAGGGGAGAUCGGAAUUCCUGGUGUAGCGGUGAAAUGCGCAGAUAUCAGGAGGAACGCCGGUGGCGAAGGCGGAUCUCUGGGCCAUUACUGACGCUGAGGAGCGAAAGCGUGGGGAGCGAACAGG